AACGAACGCUGGCGGCAGGCCUAACACAUGCAAGUCGAGCGAGGACUUCGGUUCUAGCGGCGGACGGGUGAGUAACACGUGGGAAUGUGCCCUUCUCUACGGAAUAGCCCUGGGAAACUGGGGGUAAUACCGUAUACGCCCUACUGGGGAAAGAUUUAUCGGUGAAGGAUCGGCCCGCGUUGGAUUAGGUAGUUGGUUGGGUAAUGGCCUACCAAGGCGACGAUCCAGAGCUGGUUUGAGAGGAUGAUCAGCCACACUGGGACUGAGACACGGCCCAGACUCCUACGGGAGGCAGCAGUGGGGAAUCUUACGCAAUGGGGGAAAGCCUGAUGGAGCCAUGCCGCGUGAGUGAUGAAGGCCUUAGGAUUGUAAAGCUCUUUCAGCUGGGAAGAUAAUGACGGUACCAGGAGAAGAAGCCCCGGCUAACUCCGUG
This 433-nucleotide ribosomal RNA is filed under the name uncultured bacterium. RNAcentral's name for it is "partial 16S ribosomal RNA". It matches the Rfam family "Bacterial small subunit ribosomal RNA", at positions 29 to 507 of the family's 1533-position model. The record is from RNAcentral.